Molecule: long non-coding RNA, 590 nt
Organism: Capsicum annuum
Lineage: Eukaryota; Viridiplantae; Streptophyta; Magnoliopsida; Solanales; Solanaceae
Exons: 3
Source: RefSeq, a predicted model, not a curated record
AACUUUUUUUUUUCAACAGAUUAUUUCAAAUCUUCACAACAGAUCAAUUUUUCUGUUAUUUUUACCAUAUCAGUUGUUUGAGAGAGCCCACAUUCGACUUCCUUCUUUCUCAUAGUUGCCACUUUCUCUCUCUUUGAGGCUUGGUCAUUUGAAGUCAUUUCUCAUUUUCAACAGCAGGUCAAGGACUACUCAAAAGAGGUUUCUCAUCUAAGGAUCCUUAAAUGGUUGUCUGCCACGGACAACUCAAGAAUGAAUCCCCUUGAUCUCUUUAUCUCUCUUGAUGAUGCAGUGCUGACGCUCAGUUCUCGGAUUGUACUUAGUCCCUUAGAUUCUCAGCAGUACAGUGGCAGUGGUGAGUCCUCAUCACCUGAGGAUAGACUAUCUUAUUUCAUGUCUUUAUUUUAGUAGUUAGUAGAGUUAGUUGGGGGCUUGUCCCAUCAACUCUCAGUCAGUUAAUCUUAGAGGCUUUUUAGACAUUACAGUUAGUUAGUUGUUUAUUUUAUUAGUACUUUAUCAGAUUCUAACAGUCGUUUUUCCUAGAUUGAUAUUUCAGUUUAAAUUUAGAUAUUUAAAACCUUUUUUCACUUCAG